GACGAACGCUGGCGGCGUGCUUAACACAUGCAAGUCGAACGGAAAGGCCCCAGCUUGCUGGGGUACUCGAGUGGCGAACGGGUGAGUAACACGUGGGUGAUCUGCCCUGCACUUCGGGAUAAGCCUGGGAAACUGGGUCUAAUACCGGAUAGGACCAUCGUUUAGUGUCGGUGGUGGAAAGUUUUUCGGUGCAGGAUGAGCCCGCGGCCUAUCAGCUUGUUGGUGGGGUAAUGGCCUACCAAGGCGUCGACGGGUAGCCGGCCUGAGAGGGUGGACGGCCACAUUGGGACUGAGACACGGCCCAG
Molecule: ribosomal RNA, 305 nt
Filed under: uncultured bacterium
Lineage: Bacteria
Description: bacterial SSU rRNA
Rfam family: Bacterial small subunit ribosomal RNA
Source: RNAcentral